AUAAAACGAUGUUAGCACUGAGUCGCUCGCUAUUAUACUGCGAGCAGUCACCAACUAAACACGAUGGAGUAUUCGAUCUCUGCGAUGCUGAUGGCGGUGCUGGUCGCCAUCUUCGUGGGCGUAACUUCCGCUUACGAUUACGGUUACGACGACGGCUAUAGUUACGACGACUGGUACGCUGCUCCUGCCAAGCACUGAGCCCGACCCCGUCCAUGGAAGGAGGGAGGCACCAACAAGAGAGGCUUUGCCGGCGGCGGAGGGGAGACAGCGGCUCUUGAUAGACGACUGAGAUGCCAGAAGACACCAUCCAACGUAGAAAUAUACCGACUAGCGCGGCUGAGCGGAUGCACCGAACAUACAAAUAUACUUUGCACCACACAGAGGGACGAUGUAAUAAUCUAUAGCACGAACGAUGUUUGUCAAUAUACGUAGCAGCUAGCAGGUGC
Molecule: long non-coding RNA, 446 nt
Organism: Amphibalanus amphitrite
Lineage: Eukaryota; Metazoa; Arthropoda; Thecostraca; Balanomorpha; Balanidae
Exons: 2
Source: RefSeq, a predicted model, not a curated record